CUGCGAAUGGCUCAUUAUAUAAGUUAUCGUCUAUUUGAUAGUACCUUACUACUUGGAUAACCGUGGUAAUUCUAGAGCUAAUACAUGCUAAAAAUCCCGACUUCGGAAGGGAUGUAUUUAUUAGAUUAAAAACCAAUGCCCCCUGGGCUCUCUGGUGAUUCAUGAUAACUUCUCGAAUCGCAUGGCCUUGUGCCGGCGAUGGUUCAUUCAAAUUUCUUCCCUAUCAACUUUCGAUGUUUGGGUAGUGGCCAAACAUGGUUGCAACGGGUAACGGAGGGUUAGGGCUCGACCCCGGAGAAGGAGCCUGAGAAACGGCUACUACAUCCAAGGAAGGCAGCAGGCGCGCAAAUUACCCAAUCCCGACCCGGGGAGGUAGUGACAAUAAAUACUGAUACAGGGCUCUUUUGGGUCUUGUAAUUGGAAUGAGUACAAUUUAAAUCCCUUAACGAGGAACAAUUGGAGGGCAAGUCUGGUGCCAGCAGCCGCGGUAAUUCCAGCUCCAAUAGCGUAUAUUAAAGUUGUUGUGGUUAAAAAGCUCGUAGUUGAACCUUGGGCCUGGCUGGCCGGUCCGCCUCACCGCGAGUACUGGUCCGGCCGGGCCUUUCCCUCUGUGGAACCCCAUGCCCUUCACUGGGUGUGGCGGGGAAACAGGACUUUUACUUUGAAAAAAUUAGAGUGCUCCAGGCAGGCCUAUGCUCGAAUACAUUAGCAUGGAAUAAUGAAAUAGGACGUGCGGUUCUAUUUUGUUGGUUUCUAGGACCGCCGUAAUGAUUAAUAGGGACAGUCGGGGGCAUCAGUAUUCAAUUGUCAGAGGUGAAAUUCUUGGAUUUAUUGAAGACUAACUACUGCGAAAGCAUCUGCCAAGGAUGUUUUCAUUAAUCAGGAACGAAAGUUAGGGGAUCGAAGACGAUCAGAUACCG
Molecule: ribosomal RNA, 920 nt
Filed under: Yosiokobayasia kusanaginensis
Lineage: Eukaryota; Fungi; Ascomycota; Sordariomycetes; Hypocreales; Clavicipitaceae
Description: SSU rRNA
Rfam family: Eukaryotic small subunit ribosomal RNA
Source: RNAcentral